UAAGGCCUAUGCAAAGCUUUGGGUGA
This 26-nucleotide non-coding RNA is filed under the name Homo sapiens (human). Lineage: Eukaryota; Metazoa; Chordata; Mammalia; Primates; Hominidae. The record is from RNAcentral.